GCGGAAGAGAUAAGUGCUGAAAGCAUCUAAGCACGAAACUUGCCCCGAGAUGAGUUCUCCCUGACCCUUUAAGGGUCCUGAAGGAACGUUGAAGACGACGACGUUGAUAGGUCGGGUGUGUAAGCGCAGCGAUGCGUUGAGCUAACCGGUACUAAUGAACCGUGAGGCUUAACCUU
This 176-nucleotide ribosomal RNA is filed under the name Escherichia coli. RNAcentral's name for it is "partial 23S ribosomal RNA". It matches the Rfam family "Bacterial large subunit ribosomal RNA", at positions 2755 to 2925 of the family's 2925-position model. The record is from RNAcentral. Lineage: Bacteria; Pseudomonadati; Pseudomonadota; Gammaproteobacteria; Enterobacterales; Enterobacteriaceae.